GGAACUAGGCAAAAUAGCACCGUAACUUCGGGAGAAGGUGCGCCGGCGUAGAUUGUAAGGGCUAGCCCCUGAAGGUUGAACCGGUCGAAGUGACCCGCUGGCUGCAACUGUUUAUUAAAAACACAGCACUCUGCAAACACGAAAGUGGAGGUAUAGGGUGUGAUGCCUGCCCGGUGCUGGAAGGUUAAUUGAUGGUGUAAUCGCAAGAGAAGCACCUGAUCGAAGCCCCAGUAAACGGCGGCCGUAACUAUAACGGUCCUAAGGUAGCGAAAUUCCUUGUCGGGUAAGUUCCGACCUGCACGAAUGGCAUAAUGAUGGCCAGGCUGUCUCCACCCGAGACUCAGUGAAAUUGAAAUCGCCGUGAAGAUGCGGUGUACCCGCGGCUAGACGGAAAGACCCCGUGAACCUUUACUAUAGCUUGACACUGAACAUUGAAUUUUGAUGUGUAGGAUAGGUGGGAGCCUUUGAAGCAGUGACGCCAGUCAUUGUGGAGGCGAGCUUGAAAUACCACCCUUUAACGUUUGAUGUUCUAACGAAGAUGACGAAACGUGGUCUCGGACAGUGUCUGGUGGGUAGUUUGACUGGGGCGGUCUCCUCCCAAAGCGUAACGGAGGAGCACGAAGGUUUGCUAAUCACGGUCGGACAUCGUGAGGUUAGUGCAAUGGUAUAAGCAAGCUUAACUGCGAGACAGACAAGU
Molecule: ribosomal RNA, 697 nt
Filed under: Haemophilus influenzae
Lineage: Bacteria; Pseudomonadati; Pseudomonadota; Gammaproteobacteria; Pasteurellales; Pasteurellaceae
Description: bacterial LSU rRNA
Rfam family: Bacterial large subunit ribosomal RNA
Source: RNAcentral